GUUUGAUCCUGGCUCAGAACGAACGCUGGCGGCGUGCCUAAUACAUGCAAGUCGAACGAGAAAGUCCGGCUUCGGUUGGACAAGUAAAGUGGCGAACGGGUGAGUAACACGUGGAUAAUCUGCCCUCAGAUCCGGGAUAAUCCUUCGAAAGGAGGCCUAAUACCGGAUAACACUUCGAGGCGGCAUCGUCUUGAAGUCACAGGCGGGGUAACCUGCCGUCUGGGGAUGAGUCCGCGCUCCAUUAGCUUGUUGGCGGGGUAAAAGCCCACCAAGGCUGCGAUGGAUAGCCGACCUGAGAGGGUGACCGGCCACACUGGGACUGAGAUACGGCCCAUACUCCUACGGGAGGCAGCAGUAGGGAAUAUUGCGCAAUGGACGAAAGUCUGACGCACCAACGCCGCCUUGGAUGAUGAAGCAUUUCGGUGUGUAAAAUCCUGUCAGUGG
RNAcentral lists this ribosomal RNA (444 nucleotides) under uncultured bacterium. Its description in RNAcentral is "bacterial SSU rRNA". It matches the Rfam family "Bacterial small subunit ribosomal RNA", at positions 11 to 442 of the family's 1533-position model. The record is from RNAcentral.